AUGAAGAAGGGCACCUUCCUAGCUGCAGGUGGGGGGCUUAGGGGUGGGGCAGGGCCUCCAAGGGAGAGGUUUUUGUAUGAGGCUGUGUCACAGUGUUUCGUGUUCGGCAGUGGGACCCAGGUGACCGUCCUAGGUCAGCCCAAGUCUGCACCCUCAGUCACUCUUUUUCCACCCUCCUCUGAGGAGCUCAGCAACAACAAGGCCACACUGGUGUGUCUGGCCAGUGACUUCUACCCUGGAGCCGUGACAGUGGCCUGGAAGGAGAAUGGCAGCCCUGUGUCCCAGGGUGUGGAGACCACCAAGCCCUCCAAACAGAGCAACAACAAGUAUGCGGCCAGCAGCUACCUGAGCAUGUCAGCCAGCAAGUGGAAAUCUGCCAGCCAGUUCAGCUGCCACGUGACGCACGAUGGCACCACUGUGGACAAGACAGUGGUCCCCUCAGAGUGUUCCUAGGACACUGAGCCCCCAUUUUCUGGGACUCUGCUCACCCACAAACCCCAUUCUCCAGUUCUCCACUGUACCCCUGGGACUCUAGCCCAGUUCUUUCCAGACUGGACUGGCCUCACUGUCUCCCCAUUUCCACAGUUUCUCAAUAAAGCCCUGGUCAUUUA
Molecule: non-coding RNA, 611 nt
Organism: Artibeus jamaicensis (Jamaican fruit-eating bat)
Lineage: Eukaryota; Metazoa; Chordata; Mammalia; Chiroptera; Phyllostomidae
Source: the annotation of a RefSeq genome assembly